UCUUUCACAAAAGUAUUCUCCACAAAUUUUAACAUAAAAUUUUAAAUUUCACCAUAAAAUUUUAAAUUUCAAAUUUUAAAAUUUUAAAAUUCAUUUUUAAUUUUGAUUUCAAAUUUCAAAUUUUAAAUUUCAAAUUCCAAAUUUCAAAUUUCAAAUUUAAAACAUAAAAUCUAAUUUAAUUUUUUAAUUUUAAAUUUUAAAUUUUAAUUUUAUAUUUUGAAUUUUGAAUUUUGAAUUUUAAUUUUUAAAAUUUUAUUUUUAAAUUUUGAAUUUUGAAUUUUGAAUUUUGAAUUUUGAAUUUUGAAUUUUAAAAUUUUAGAAAUUUAAUUGUUAUAAAUCCUGUGGAAUUGUAUGAUAUGUAUCCAAACAGCUUAAAAAUGAAGCUGUGAAAUUUUUUUGUAGUUACAGGAUUCCGUAUUUCAUUUAGACUAAAAUCAUAGAAUAAAAAUUUCAUGGAGUUUUUUAACUAUACAACCAAACAGGGCCUUAAUGGGUUAGGCUAAAUCCAAAUCG
RNAcentral lists this long non-coding RNA (513 nucleotides) under Ananas comosus (pineapple). Its description in RNAcentral is "long non-coding RNA (ACOM_LNC029790)". The record is from RNAcentral. Lineage: Eukaryota; Viridiplantae; Streptophyta; Magnoliopsida; Poales; Bromeliaceae.